Molecule: ribosomal RNA, 508 nt
Filed under: uncultured bacterium
Lineage: Bacteria
Description: partial 16S ribosomal RNA
Rfam family: Bacterial small subunit ribosomal RNA
Source: RNAcentral
GACGAACGCUGGCGGCGUGCCUAAUACAUGCAAGUCGAACGCUUCUUUCCUCCCGAGUGCUUGCACUCAAUUGGAAAGAGGAGUGGCGGACGGGUGAGUAACACGUGGGUAACCUACCCAUCAGAGGGGGAUAACACUUGGAAACUGGUGCUAAUACCGCAUAACAGUUUAUGCCGCAUGGCAUAAGAGUGAAAGGCGCUUUCGGGUGUCGUUGAUGGAUGGACCCGCGGUGCAUUAGCUAGUUGGUGAGGUAACGGCUCACCAAGGCCACGAUGCAUAGCCGACCUGAGAGGGUGAUCGGCCACACUGGGACUGAGACACGGCCCAGACUCCUACGGGAGGCAGCAGUAGGGAAUCUUCGGCAAUGGACGAAAGUCUGACCGAGCAACGCCGCGUGAGUGAAGAAGGUUUUCGGAUCGUAAAACUCUGUUGUUAGAGAAGAACAAGGACGUUAGUAACUGAACGUCCCCUGACGGUAUCUAACCAGAAAGCCACGGCUAACUACGUG